AAUUUCUCAGCUGAUGGGUUUGUUUUCUUAUGUUUGGUUUGCAGUUCUGUGAUCGUAUAUUCUUAUAUGCAUUCUAGUGAGAAUAAAAAUGAGUGGCGAAUGGAUAAAGUUUGGUUCUUUAACCUUGUCCCUUUUAUGCAGUGAAGGAGUUUCAGUUUUUCCAGAAAUUGCAGCUGCCCUUUCCUGUUCAUUAUUUAUUUGUGUUUCUUAAGUGAGAUUGGGGGGAGUGCAAGUUCUUCUGUGGGAGUGAAGAGGCUGUCUUUAGAAACAAGAAAAUGAAGUUUAUGAAGUUGGGAUCAAAGCCUGAUGCAUUUCAAGCUGAAGGGAGCUGUGUAAGGUAAGUUUGAUGCCCUCAUUUUCUGUUUUUCUUCAGAGAUUCC
This 380-nucleotide long non-coding RNA is filed under the name Olea europaea (common olive). Its description in RNAcentral is "long non-coding RNA (OEUR_LNC011425)". The record is from RNAcentral. Lineage: Eukaryota; Viridiplantae; Streptophyta; Magnoliopsida; Lamiales; Oleaceae.